GGCUCAGAUUGAACGCUGGCGGCAUGCCUUACACAUGCAAGUCGAACGGUAACAGGCCGCAAGGUGCUGACGAGUGGCGAACGGGUGAGUAAUACAUCGGAACGUGCCCGAGAGUGGGGGAUAACGGAGCGAAAGCUUUGCUAAUACCGCAUACGAUCUACGGAUGAAAGCAGGGGACCGCAAGGCCUUGCGCUCAUGGAGCGGCCGAUGGCAGAUUAGGUAGUUGGUGGGAUAAAGCUUACCAAGCCGACGAUCUGUAGCUGGUCUGAGAGGACGACCAGCCACACUGGGACUGAGACACGGCCCAGGACUCCUACGGGAGGCAGCAGUGGGGAAUUUUGGACAAUGGGCGAAAGCCUGAUCCAGCCAUGCCGCGUGCAGGAUGAAGGCCUUCGGGUUGUAAACUGCUUUGUACGGAACGAAAAGACUCUGGUUAAUACCUGGGGGUCCAUGACGGUACCGUAAGAAUAAGCACCGGCUAACUACGUG
Molecule: ribosomal RNA, 489 nt
Filed under: uncultured bacterium
Lineage: Bacteria
Description: bacterial SSU rRNA
Rfam family: Bacterial small subunit ribosomal RNA
Source: RNAcentral